This 1522-nucleotide ribosomal RNA is filed under the name metagenome. Its description in RNAcentral is "bacterial SSU rRNA". It matches the Rfam family "Bacterial small subunit ribosomal RNA". The record is from RNAcentral.
AGAGUUUGAUCAUGGCUCAGAUUGAACGCUGGCGGCAGGCCUAACACAUGCAAGUCGAACGGUAACAGGAAACAGCUUGCUGUUUCGCUGACGAGUGGCGGACGGGUGAGUAAUGUCUGGGAAACUGCCUGAUGGAGGGGGAUAACUACUGGAAACGGUAGCUAAUACCGCAUAACGUCGCAAGACCAAAGAGGGGGACCUUCGGGCCUCUCGCCAUCAGAUGUGCCCAGAUGGGAUUAGCUAGUAGGUGGGGUAACGGCUCACCUAGGCGACGAUCCCUAGCUGGUCUGAGAGGAUGACCAGCCACACUGGAACUGAGACACGGUCCAGACUCCUACGGGAGGCAGCAGUGGGGAAUAUUGCACAAUGGGCGCAAGCCUGAUGCAGCCAUGCCGCGUGUAUGGAGAAGGCCUUCGGGUUGUAAAGUACUUUCAGCGGGGAGGAAGGGAGUAAAGUUAAUACCUUGGCUCAUUGACGUUACCCGCAGAAGAAGCACCGGCUAACUCCGUGCCAGCAGCCGCGGUAAUACGGAGGGUGCAAGCGUUAAUCGGAAUUACUGGGCGUAAAGCGCACGCAGGCGGUUUGUUAAGUCAGAUGUGAAAUCCCCGGGCUCAACCUGGGAACUGCAUCUGAUACUGGCAAGCUUGAGUCUCGUAGAGGGGGGUAGAAUUCCAGGUGUAGCGGUGAAAUGCGUAGAGAUCUGGAGGAAUACCGGUGGCGAAGGCGGCCCCCUGGACGAAGACUGACGCUCAGGUGCGAAAGCGUGGGGAGCAAACAGGAUUAGAUACCCUGGUAGUCCACGCCGUAAACGAUGUCGACUUGGAGGUUGUGCCCUUGAGGCGUGGCUUCCGGAGCUAACGCGUUAAGUCGACCGCCUGGGGAGUACGGCUGCAAGGUUAAAACUCAAAUGAAUUGACGGGGGCCCGCACAAGCGGUGGAGCAUGUGGUUUAAUUCGAUGCAACGCGAAGAACCUUACCUGGUCUUGACAUCCACGGAAGUUUUCAGAGAUGAGAAUGUGCCUUCGGGAACCGUGAGACAGGUGCUGCAUGGCUGUCGUCAGCUCGUGUUGUGAAAUGUUGGGUUAAGUCCCGCAACGAGCGCAACCCUUAUCCUUUGUUGCCAGCGGUCCGGCCGGGAACUCAAAGGAGACUGCCAGUGAUAAACUGGAGGAAGGUGGGGAUGACGUCAAGUCAUCACGGCCCUUACGACCAGGGCUACACACGUGCUACAAUGGCGCAUACAAAGAGAAGCGACCUCGCGAGAGCAAGCGGACCUCAUAAAGUGCGUCGUAGUCCGGAUUGGAGUCUGCAACUCGACUCCAUGAAGUCGGAAUCGCUAGUAAUCGUGGAUCAGAAUGCCACGGUGAAUACGUUCCCGGGCCUUGUACACACCGCCCGUCACACCAUGGGAGUGGGUUGCAAAAGAAGUAGGUAGCUUAACCUUCGGGAGGGCGCUUACCACUUUGUGAUUCAUGACUGGGGUGAAGUCGUAACAAGGUAACCGUAGGGGAACCUGCGGUUG